This is a small nucleolar RNA of Cavia porcellus (domestic guinea pig), 136 nucleotides long. NCBI's taxonomy places the organism in Eukaryota, Metazoa, Chordata, Mammalia, Rodentia, Caviidae. The record is from Ensembl.
CUGGCCCUGAAUCAAGGCUGGCAGCUUCCUGAUGUGUUGGUUUCAAGCAAGAGCCUAAAGAGAUGUCUUUCUAUGGUCUGUUGGCCAUUUCAGAACUUGGGCUGUGAAAGGGUCAGUUCAUUAGAAAGAAACAGCU